This is a non-coding RNA of Ailuropoda melanoleuca (giant panda), 98 nucleotides long. The record is from Rfam. NCBI's taxonomy places the organism in Eukaryota, Metazoa, Chordata, Mammalia, Carnivora, Ursidae.
GUCUACGGCCAUAAGACCCUGAACGAGCCCAAUCUCAUCUGAUCUCGGAAGCUAAGUAGGGUCGGGGCUGGUUAGUACUAGGAUAGGAUGUGUAGACU